This is a non-coding RNA of Hyphomicrobium sp. SCN 65-11, 74 nucleotides long. The record is from Rfam. NCBI's taxonomy places the organism in Bacteria, Pseudomonadati, Pseudomonadota, Alphaproteobacteria, Hyphomicrobiales, Hyphomicrobiaceae.
UCGUGGUGCCCUUCGGGCAUUUCCUCCCUGGACUUGGGCCGCGCCUCGACGUGCGGCCCUCUUUUUUUAAAGUU